AACGAACGCUGGCGGCAGGCUUAACACAUGCAAGUCGAACGCACCGCAAGGUGAGUGGCAGACGGGUGAGUAACACGUGGGAACGUACCCCUUGUUCGGAAUAACCCUGGGAAACUAGGGCUAAUACCGGAUACGGCCGGAAGGCGAAAGGUUUACCGCAGAGGGAUCGGCCCGCGUCCGAUUAGCUUGUUGGUGAGGUAAUGGCUCACCAAGGCAUCGAUCGGUAGCUGGUCUGAGAGGANGAUCAGCCACAAUGGGACUGAGACACGGCCCAUACUCCUACGGGAGGCAGCAGUGGGGAAUUUUACGCAAUGGGCGAAAGCCUGACGUAGCGACACCGCGUGAACGAAGAAGCCUCUUGGGGUGUAAAGUUCUGUCAGCUGGAACGAAAAAAUAGACGGUACCAGCAGAGGAAGCAUCGGCUAACUACGUGCCAGCCGCCGCAGUAAC
RNAcentral lists this ribosomal RNA (450 nucleotides) under uncultured bacterium. Its description in RNAcentral is "bacterial SSU rRNA". It matches the Rfam family "Bacterial small subunit ribosomal RNA", at positions 29 to 524 of the family's 1533-position model. The record is from RNAcentral.